AGUCGGUGGAAUCAACAUUUCGGUCAGCAUUUAAGUCAAUUCUUAAAAUCAACGAGUAUAAUACAAGAGUAUAUACAAGACACACGAUAAAUGCCGACAUUGCAAUGACCGUGGUAAUUC
Molecule: long non-coding RNA, 120 nt
Organism: Mycetomoellerius zeteki
Lineage: Eukaryota; Metazoa; Arthropoda; Insecta; Hymenoptera; Formicidae
Exons: 3
Source: RefSeq, a predicted model, not a curated record